This is a long non-coding RNA of Pongo pygmaeus (Bornean orangutan), 773 nucleotides long. RefSeq lists it as uncharacterized. The record is from RefSeq and is a predicted model, not a curated record. NCBI's taxonomy places the organism in Eukaryota, Metazoa, Chordata, Mammalia, Primates, Hominidae. The transcript is spliced from 3 exons.
UAGCUUGCCGAUGCUCCCAGCUGAAUAAAGCCCUUCCUUUUACAACUCGUUGUCUGAGAGGUUUUAUCUAUGGCUCGUCCUGCUACAUUUCUUAGUUCCCUGACUGGGAAGUGAGGUGACUGACGGACGGCCGAGGCAGCCCCUUAGGCAGCUUAAGCCUGCCCUGUGGAGUGUCCCGGCGGGGGACUCCGGCCAGCCUGAAUGACGCGAUCCAAAGAGCGCUCCCAGGUAGGAAAUUGUCCUGGCGGAAUGCCUCGCCAGAGCAGCGCGUAGCAGGCCCCGGUGGAGGAUUAAGACAGUGGCUGAACACCGGGAAGGAACUGGCCAGACUUCUGAAACUUGGUCUGCUGUUUCAAUCCUGAGGCCAGCGAGACCAUGAACCCAUGGGAGGAAUGAACAACUCCAGAUGCGCCGCCUUAAGAGCUGUAACACUCACUGUGAAAGUCUGCAGCUUCACUCCUGAAGCCAGUGAGACCACAAAUUCACUGGAAGGAAGAAACUUCUAACACGUCUGAACAUCAAAAGGAACAAACUCCAGACACACCAUCUUUAAGAACUGUAGCACACAUCGCGAGGGUCUGCGGCUUCAUUCUUCAAAUCAGUGAGACCAAGAACCCACCAAUUCCGGAUACACCACUGUAUCAUUGUACUACACUGCUCUCAGCGCCACUGACCUCGAUGGAGUUUUGCUCUUGUUGCCCAGGCUGGAGUGCAAUGGCGAGAUGUCGGCUCACAGCAAUCUCCGCCUCCCGGGAUCAAGCGAUUCUCCUGCC